This 279-nucleotide long non-coding RNA is filed under the name Physcomitrium patens. RNAcentral's name for it is "long non-coding RNA (PPAT_LNC011711)". Lineage: Eukaryota; Viridiplantae; Streptophyta; Bryopsida; Funariales; Funariaceae. The record is from RNAcentral.
UAUAUAAUAUAAUUAGAGCUAGCAAUUUUUGCUAGUUUGUGAAAUUGGCAUGACAUCUACAGUUGAAAAUUUGGUACUAUUUGGAUUAUUAGGUGUAUAUACACUUUCUAUGAUAUCUGAAGAUCUAUUAGUCAGAUUAAGGUGAAAAUUGGCAUGGUCUUGGAGGACUAAAAGAUCAAACUACACAAAAAUUUUGAGACAAAGUUAAAAAUUGGAGAAAGAGAAAUCAUUGCUGGAAUUUCUACUUCAUUUUUCAAGUUGGCAGCCUAGUGACAUUGG